GAGAGAUUCCCAUGGGACAUAUAAAGAAUUCAUUUAUGGCGGUUUUUAUGUAGAACAUGUGGGUGCAAAAGGAAGAGACAGCUGGAUUGAGAGUGCUUGUGAACUGUACACAGGUCUCCCUGUUACAAGACGAGUGACACAGACGUCUGUCCCUGCAAAAUCUGAGCAUGUACUGGAAGUAGAGCAGCCAUGUUACUGUGACACUGUCUAAGUGCUGUAUUAUUUCUUCCAAAGGAGGAGAGACACUCAACUCUGCUAGGCGGUAAAAGCAGAGGGGAAGCUUGAUCUAUCAAUGGAGCAGAGGAACUGGAGAUGACUUAACAAAUUGUCUAGAAGGGAGGUGGCUGUAUUGAGUAGCUUUUUGUGGGACCAGAUCCUAAACAAGUUGCAUGAGGAAGCUAAAUCUCCUUGGAUUUCAUUAGAAGAUGCCAGACUCAAGAUUUUUGUCCUCCCUUCAUCUCCCGUU
Nothoprocta perdicaria is the source of this 466-nucleotide long non-coding RNA. RefSeq lists it as uncharacterized. NCBI's taxonomy places the organism in Eukaryota, Metazoa, Chordata, Aves, Tinamiformes, Tinamidae. The transcript has 5 exons. The record is from RefSeq and is a predicted model, not a curated record.